GACUCUCUCCUCGCACUAGAAUUAGAUAAACACUUCUCUCCCUCUAUUUUCAUAUUCAUCAUAAACUAGUAAAUCUGUUCAUCCCACAACUCUUAGAAUCUCAAAAAAAAAAAAAAAAAAAAACUCUUAUAAUAUUUCAAGAGAUCGAUUCAUAUAUGGAUGAUCCUCAGGUUCCUCGAGUUACAUCCAAUUAUUCAAGUAUUCCUCUACUUGGUUGCAUCAUAGACACUCUUGUUCAUCUUUUUACGGACUCCAACACAAUCUUUUCUGACGAACAAGGCAAGGAAAUCGUAGACGUGGCGGUCGAAGAAAAUCGUGCAGCUCAUAAACACUUUAGGCAACUCAGGUGUGCUAAAAUCAAUUAGACUUAAAAGUUAAGUAUUACUUGAUAUUACAGGUUUUGUCGAAAAGGGUGGAGGCCAGAACAACCCAUAGUUGGAGUCCCUAUCACAGACGAAGAAGCAGGGCUGCGAAGAAGCCCUAAGGGUUUCAGCUUCAGUCAAAGAGUUUCACCAGUUUGUAAAAGUCUUACUAUGUUUUUAAUUUGUGAUAAUAUCUUAAUUGAUAAUGAAUUUUGUUGUUCUCUCUAAAUUGACAUAGAAAUAUAUUUAUUUACAAAAAAAAACUGAGAAACAAUUUUAAAAUCAAUCAGUGUGAAACUAAUUCAGCUUAUUUUUUUCCUCUUCCAUAUUUAGGCUUGAGCAAUAAUAAGCGGUUGAAUUAUUUCUUUGACUGUUGAAAAUUUAUACGUAGAAAAGAGUGAAGAAUGAGGAAGACAUUUGAUAACUCACUUUUUUAAAAGUCAUGAAGGGGUGGUGAGAACUUUAGGAUUACCUUGUAGCAUCUUUUAAGUCUUGUUAGCCGGCUCAAUGUUCUUGCCGAGAUUUUACUCCGGCCGGUUGAGAAUUUCGCCGAGCUGGCUAUUGGGAAGUCUUGAAUAGUCGCCUUUAAAUGUGUUAAAAUGGGUUGAAGUUGAUGAGUCAACCCCACCUAAUCUAAGGGGGUGUUAUUCAAUCUGUAUGUUGAAAUCAACUCCACUAGAUUAGAGUAUAUCAGAUUUUAAAUUUUUUUUAAUUCAUUUAGAAUAUAAUGUAUAUGAGUUGUUUAAAAUUUUAAAUUACUUAGCAGUGUAUUUAGAAAGUCACAUGCUAUUAUU
RNAcentral lists this long non-coding RNA (1156 nucleotides) under Eutrema salsugineum. RNAcentral describes it as "long non-coding RNA (ESAL_LNC000103)". Lineage: Eukaryota; Viridiplantae; Streptophyta; Magnoliopsida; Brassicales; Brassicaceae. The record is from RNAcentral.